RNAcentral lists this ribosomal RNA (364 nucleotides) under uncultured bacterium. Its description in RNAcentral is "partial 16S ribosomal RNA". It matches the Rfam family "Bacterial small subunit ribosomal RNA", at positions 338 to 699 of the family's 1533-position model. The record is from RNAcentral.
CCUACGGGUGGCAGCAGUGAGGAAUAUUGGUCAAUGGACGCAAGUCUGAACCAGCCAUGCCGCGUGCAGGAAGACGGCUCUAUGUGUUGUAAACUGCUUUUGUACGGGGGUAAACGCCGAUACGCGUCUCUGUCUGAACGUAUCGUACUAAUAAGGAUCGGCUAACUCCGUGCCAGCAGCCGCGGUAAUACGGAGGAUUCAAGCGUUAUCCGGAUUUAUUGGGUUUAAAGGGUGCGUAGGCGGUCGGAUAAGUUAGAGGUGAAAUCCCGAGGCUCAACUUUGGAAUUGCCUGUGAUACUGUUCGGCUAGAGAGUAGUAGAGGUAGGCGGAAUGUAUGGUGUAGCGGUGAAAUGCUUAGAGAUCA